GAUGAACGCUGGCGGCGUGCUUAACACAUGCAAGUCGAACGAAGCACUGUAUUUGAUUUCCUUCGGGACUGAUUAUUUUGUGACUGAGUGGCGGACGGGUGAGUAACGCGUGGGUAACCUGCCUUGUACAGGGGGAUAACAGCUGGAAACGGCUGCUAAUACCGCAUAAGCGCACAGCAUCGCAUGAUGCAGUGUGAAGAACUCCGGUGGUAUAAGAUGGACCCGCGUAGGCUUAGCUAGUUGGUGAGGUAACGGCCCACCAAGGCGACGAUCCAUAGCCGGCCUGGGAGGGUGGCCGGCGACCUUGGGACUGGGACGCGGCGCGGACUCCUGCGGGAGGCAGCAGUGGGGAAUAUUGCACAGUGGGCGAAAGCCUGAUGGAGCUACGCCGCGUGAGCGAAGUAGUAUUUCGGGAUGUAAAGCUCUAUCAGCAGGGGAGAUAAUGACGGUACCUGACGAAGAAGCACCGGCUAACUACGUG
RNAcentral lists this ribosomal RNA (481 nucleotides) under uncultured bacterium. RNAcentral describes it as "partial 16S ribosomal RNA". It matches the Rfam family "Bacterial small subunit ribosomal RNA", at positions 28 to 507 of the family's 1533-position model. The record is from RNAcentral.